GGUGGCAUAAUGGCUAGAGCGUCCGCCUUGGCAGCGGGAGAGCUGGGGUUCGAAACCCGGCAGAUUCA
Molecule: non-coding RNA, 68 nt
Organism: Potamilus streckersoni
Lineage: Eukaryota; Metazoa; Mollusca; Bivalvia; Unionida; Unionidae
Source: the annotation of a GenBank genome assembly